CUACUAUCUAAGCCCAUUAUCCAAAACUCAUUAAAAACCAUUAACCCAUAAACCCAUAUACAUAAACCUAUAUACAUUUACCCAUGAACCCAUACACAUAACCUUAACCAAGUCCAUAAACUUUGAACCAAAACCAUGGACCAAGCCAUACACCAAAUCCCAUGGACCAUACCAUACACCAAAUCCACGAAUUAUGAAUCAAGUUCAUGAAUCAAAUCAAGUCCAUGAACCAUAAACCCAUCUAAGUUUAUGAACCAUAAUCCCAUAUACCCAAUACCAUAAACCUUGUGAACCAAACCCAAAUAAAUCGACCGAAACGUCAUUAAACUAAUCCACCAAAUCAAUCGACCGAAACGUCGUUAAACUAAACCUAAAUUCGAUAUCGACCGAAAUGUCGUUAAACUAAACCUAAAUUCGAUAUCGACCGAAACGUCGUUAAACUAAUCCACCAAAUCCGAUAUUGACCAAAAUGUCGUUAAACUAAACUCAAGUUCAAUUUUCACGAACAUCCCAAUUCCCAAAAUAUUCGAUUCUCUAGCAUAUAAAACUAGAGUCAAAUCACAAUCAUGUUCAAACUUGAUCAAAUUCUAAAUCUAUAUUUAGAAUUGAUCAAACCAUCUGAUCAAAUUAAUUUGUUGGAUUCCAAUACAUACACUUGGAGUUUAAUUUAAAUCAAAUCUGACUAAUCCUAAUACAUAUAAUUAGGAUUUAGUCAAUA
Molecule: long non-coding RNA, 718 nt
Filed under: Ananas comosus (pineapple)
Lineage: Eukaryota; Viridiplantae; Streptophyta; Magnoliopsida; Poales; Bromeliaceae
Description: long non-coding RNA (ACOM_LNC036289)
Source: RNAcentral